CACCAGUGAACAAGCAUCUAUAGAUUUUGCUUGGUUAAAGGUUGGGCUAAAAAUGGAUGUCCUGCAGGCAGGCCCUGGCAGGUGCUCGGUUUUAUUAAUCUGCACUGGGAGAAAUAUAGUCUUGGGCCAAAUCAUAAGAGUAAAACCCAAGGCCAUCGUGCAAAUUCAAAUAUGCCAUUAUCUGUAACCCCAGAAAGGAAACAAAGAA
RNAcentral lists this long non-coding RNA (208 nucleotides) under Populus trichocarpa (black cottonwood). RNAcentral's name for it is "long non-coding RNA (PTRI_LNC000588)". The record is from RNAcentral. Lineage: Eukaryota; Viridiplantae; Streptophyta; Magnoliopsida; Malpighiales; Salicaceae.